This 82-nucleotide transfer RNA is filed under the name Cryptomonas sp. CCAC 1634B. RNAcentral's name for it is "tRNA-Tyr". It matches the Rfam family "tRNA". Rfam says of the family: Transfer RNA (tRNA) molecules are approximately 80 nucleotides in length. Their secondary structure includes four short double-helical elements and three loops (D, anti-codon, and T loops). Lineage: Eukaryota; Cryptophyceae; Cryptomonadales; Cryptomonadaceae. The record is from RNAcentral.
GGGUCGAUGCCCGAGUGGUUAAAGGGGGCGGAUUGUAAACCCGCCGGUUACACCUACGUUAGUUCAAAUCUAACUCGACUCA